AACGUACGCUGGCGGCUGGUCUAACACAUGCAAGUCGAGCGCUGUAGCAAUAUAGUGCGGCGCACGGGUGAGUAACACGUGGGAACGUGCCCUUUGUUUCGGAAUAACUCAGGGAAACUUGAGCUAAUACCGGUUGCGCCAUAACGGGGAAAGAUCUUUCGCCGAAGGAGCAGCCCGCGUCGGAUUAGCUAGAUGGUGGGUUAAUAGCCUACCAAGGCAACGAUCCGUAGCUGGUUUGAGAGAACGACCAGCGAGACUGAGACUGAGACUCGUCGCAGAAUCCGACGAUAGGCAUCUGUGGGGAAUUUUGGAUUAUGGGUGAAGCUCUCUGCGAUCCAUACCGCGUGUUUGAUGAAGGUCCUAUGGUUGUAAAUCUCUUUCGGCGGUGAGGAUAAUGACGGUACCCUCAGAAGAAGCUCCGGCUAACUUCGUGCCAGCCGCCGCAGUAA
Molecule: ribosomal RNA, 449 nt
Filed under: uncultured bacterium
Lineage: Bacteria
Description: partial 16S ribosomal RNA
Rfam family: Bacterial small subunit ribosomal RNA
Source: RNAcentral